This 517-nucleotide long non-coding RNA is filed under the name Fukomys damarensis (Damara mole-rat). RNAcentral's name for it is "lncRNA (ENSFDAG00000025467.1)". Lineage: Eukaryota; Metazoa; Chordata; Mammalia; Rodentia; Bathyergidae. The record is from RNAcentral.
CAAAACCACCCACUGGUGCAUUUCUUAGAGCCUUUCUGCAUUGUUAGUUACACAUGACUGUAGCUGUGGCUUCUACCAUUAGUCACUAAGCAAGUUAUUCAUUUUGAAUUGAUUUGUAUCUCUGAAGAUGCCUCACACAGACCUGCUGCUCUUACACUGCCCAGCUGUGCCUGCUAAUCUAGUUGAGGUGUGAGGAGACUUCAAGACCCAUUGACUAUUAAAGUGACUGAGUCAGGAGAGCUUCAGCGCCAAGUGAUAGCUACUACACUGAGUAGGGCAGCCACCAUGCCUGGGCUGAUUCUUCUGGGCCUUCAAAGUACACAUGGCCACAUUCAGAAUGUCUUGGUGACCUUUGAAACAUCCUAUAGGUAGGUAUCUGUUACUCACCAAUAUGUGACUGCCGAGUGCAUGGCUGCGGACGACCAGCUCAAAUCAGCAGACCUUUGUCCCCUGCCUGCAAGCCUAAAAUGUUAACCCCGCUUUUUUUACCCCCCUAUAAAAAGGAUCUCAGCCCCUG